Molecule: RNA transcript, 1393 nt
Organism: Brassica napus (rape)
Lineage: Eukaryota; Viridiplantae; Streptophyta; Magnoliopsida; Brassicales; Brassicaceae
Exons: 8
Source: RefSeq, a predicted model, not a curated record
ACAUAUGCCACGUAUUUCCAACUAAUAUAACAAAAAAUUGGAAACCAUAUCAUAUAGUGAAUAUUAACAAACAAAAACCUAUUGAUGUUAGAAAUGGCAGCCAAACUCCACAUCUCUUCUUCCUUUAGCCACAAGGCCAAUGAUUCGCCAACUUCAUCAUCUUCCUCAUAUUCAUCGUUUCUUGCUCUGCCUCAAUUCCUCUGUACACCGUUUUCAUCAGGCUUUGCACAGUUCAAGCUUCACGCCAAAUUAGGUGGAGGAGAUGGAGAAGUGAAACCUAAAGAAAAGAAGAAGUUCAUAACCAAAGAGGAAGAACCAGAACAGUAUUGGCAAAGCACUGGCGAAAGAGAAGGGGAGAACCCGAUGAAGACUCCUCUCCCUUACAUAAUCAUUUUUGACGCAGCUUGGAAGAAGGAGAACAACAUGGCAGCCUUCGGUUGCAUAUUCACCAAUAGACAGGGCCGUAUACACUAUCAAACGACUCAAGCAGAGAGGAACGUUCCUUCACCGCGGGUGGCGGAAGCUCUAGCACUACGGUGGGUACUCAUAGCAGCCCUUUUACAGGGUUUCUCUAGAAUCUGUUUCAACACAGAUUGUCGAUUGCUCUUAGCAGCACUCACCUCGAAAGCUCCUUCGGCUGAUCUCCACGGGAUCGUCCAAGACAUCAAUCAUUUUGUAAUGACCCAACCCCAACUCCAAAGGCCAAAGAAUUUGAGCUGCCUGAGAUCGUCGCCGAAGCUACCUCACCCACGGAACGUGCCAGCCUCGGCACCACCGAUAACCGCCCAAGACCACCAUCGUGUUCGUCUCGUCGAGACGAAGCCAUAGACACCAACCGCGCCGCGAUCGGAGCCCGGACGAGCCCUCACGCGCCUCCAGAAGACCGCCCUUCGCACGCGCGUGAAACGCACGCGCGUGAAACGCAUGCGCCUCCGGCGAAACCGUCGCCUCGCCGGAGCCGCCGUAGCCGGCCGCCAUCAGUCCGCCGCCGGGAAGCCGCCGCCGCGUCGCCGGUGACUUUUCUGGUAAGCCACCGCCGUCGUUGCCGGUGACCGUCACCGGUGACACGCCGGCGACUCGCCAACUCGGCCGAGUCGACCCGAUUUGGAGUCCAUUUGAGCAGCUGGAGUUCAUAAUUACCUCUUCUUAUUGUUUCUAAGGUGAGACCGACGAGCAGGAGUGAUUAUCAGACUGGUGCUAUUGGUCUUUUGGGCUUUUACUACUAUCGAGCUUUGGAUUUCUAUCACUUUUAGCGUUUUAUCGCUUUUGGACCUUUGGGCUUCCAUCUAUCGUUUAUGUUAUUUCAUAUUUCGGACUCUUGGUUUAUGUCGUACUUUAUGUUUCGGAUGUUUGACGUUGACUUUCAAAUAUUUAUAUAUGGAUAUUUCGGAUA